Molecule: long non-coding RNA, 1446 nt
Organism: Capra hircus (goat)
Lineage: Eukaryota; Metazoa; Chordata; Mammalia; Artiodactyla; Bovidae
Exons: 4
Source: RefSeq, a predicted model, not a curated record
CCUCCCUCAUAUCCUCUCAAUCCGUCUCUCUGCACUCAACAGCAGCCCCUGCCCUGCAAUUGCUCCACAGUCCCUAAACUCCAGCUCCCAGCCACUGCGCCUUCCAGUGGACCAGCGUUCCUGUCUGGGGCUAAAAUCCCCUAUUUAAUGUUGAGUAGAAGUCUGAAGAGUGGACACCCUUGACUUGAUCAUGAUCUUUGGGAAAAGGGAAUACAGCAUGGCUUUGGCACAUAUAAGUUUCCAGAGAGCUUGCGACAUUUAGUGACCUGAGAAUUUAGCAUCAUGAUUGCUUCGUCUGGCAGAUGCCAAGUGUCCAUGCUAGUGGAGGCAGAAUGGAUCUGCUCCUAGGGAUUACCAGAACAUAAACUUUGUUUUGGCUGUGUCAUGGAAGAGAAAUGGAAGGGACCUCGUCUGGAAUUGAGACAAUAUGAAGAUUCUGGCAAAUACAUGAGGGUCUAGAAAAGUAUUUAGUAACUAAAAUCUUUGGAACUGAAUCUAAGAAAAGUAAUGUGUUGAAACAUUAAGAAGCAAAAAAACAAAAUCUUUCUGGACCUUUGUAGCCUAAUCAUAGGCUAUUCUAAACUAUUAAAUUACUCUUUCAGAAAGAACUGUCAGGAACUACAAAGAGCCCAAGGUUUCACCCUUCCUGCCAGCUAACAGAUAAGUUGGCCAUGGUUUGAUGGAGGCUGGUGGAAGACAUGGCACUCUUGGGCCUGAGAGUAACAAAAAUACAUGGGCACAAAUACUUGUCUUGGUUCCUUUUGCCUCCAAACUCCACAGAGGUGGUACAGGCAGGCUCAGAUGGAUGCCUUCAUGGAAGUGGCUUGAGUUAUAGGAGAGGAACCCUAAGCUUAGGGAACAUGAAUUUCUUUCUUUUUUUUUUUUUUAAUAAUGGGCAAUAAGCAUGCCUAUAACCUUCAAGGUUGUUUGCUAUACCAAAGUCCUUGAAAAGAUAGUUCAGAAUAAAUGACAGUGACUUGCUUCACAAGAGGUGCAGAAUCAUGAGAGACUCGUGGAAAAUUGUCUUCCAACAAGGUUAUAAAGGACCUCACUCUUUGACAAAGCCAGAAACUGAUCAGAAUUUGUCUUUCUGAAAGCAAAACUGAGACCAGUACUCACUAGGGUGCUGACAAAUGUCUAACAACUGGUUUUCUUCAAAGUGAAAAAAAGCCCUAAUUUGUACCACUUGCUGAUUUUUCACAGUGCAGAACUUCCUGUCAUGACAUUUUAAACUACCAAUAUAAUCGCUGAACAUGGAAUUAGGAAGAGAUGUACAGUAGCUCACCCUUGUACAGUACUUCUCCCACACACGUAUAAUAGGCAAAAAUAAUCUCCAGAGCCUGAAUAACACUAAAAUUUAGUAAAAUAAUUAGGAAGUGCUGAGUUUUGAAUAUUUACUACCUUUCAGUUUAAUAUAUUUAAUUAUGUUUAUGUAAUUUUUUAAUA